This is a long non-coding RNA of Sphaerodactylus townsendi, 114 nucleotides long. RefSeq lists it as uncharacterized. Lineage: Eukaryota; Metazoa; Chordata; Lepidosauria; Squamata; Sphaerodactylidae. The transcript has 2 exons. The record is from RefSeq and is a predicted model, not a curated record.
CCCAAACAUAUACAACCCAUAGUUUUACUGAACAUAUAGCCUAAACCACAGCAGCCUAUGAUUAUGUCAAUUGACACUGUGCAAAAAUCAAACAUAAAGAAUAGUGGUACAAAA